UACGGAGGUGGCAAGCGUUGCUCGGAAUCACUGGGCGUAAAGGGCGCGUAGGCGGCCUCCGCAAGUCAGUUGUGAAAUCUCCGAGCUUAACUCGGAAAGGUCAACUGAUACUGCGGGGCUAGAGUGCGGAAGGGGCAACUGGAAUUCUUGGUGUAGCGGUGAAAUGCGUAGAGAUGUGGAGGAACACCGAUGGCGAAGGCAGCCCCCUGGGGUAACACUGACGCUCAUGCACGAAAGCGUGGGGAGCAAACAGG
This 254-nucleotide ribosomal RNA is filed under the name uncultured bacterium. RNAcentral describes it as "partial 16S ribosomal RNA". It matches the Rfam family "Bacterial small subunit ribosomal RNA", at positions 524 to 776 of the family's 1533-position model. The record is from RNAcentral.